Molecule: transfer RNA, 73 nt
Filed under: Marchantia polymorpha subsp. ruderalis
Lineage: Eukaryota; Viridiplantae; Streptophyta; Marchantiopsida; Marchantiales; Marchantiaceae
Rfam family: tRNA
About the family: Transfer RNA (tRNA) molecules are approximately 80 nucleotides in length. Their secondary structure includes four short double-helical elements and three loops (D, anti-codon, and T loops). Further hydrogen bonds mediate the characteristic L-shaped molecular structure. tRNAs have two regions of fundamental functional importance: the anti-codon, which is responsible for specific mRNA codon recognition, and the 3' end, to which the tRNAs corresponding amino acid is attached (by aminoacyl-tRNA synthetases). tRNAs cope with the degeneracy of the genetic code in two manners: having more than one tRNA (with a specific anti-codon) for a particular amino acid; and 'wobble' base-pairing, i.e. permitting non-standard base-pairing at the 3rd anti-codon position.
Source: Rfam by way of RNAcentral
UGGGAAAUAACUUAGUGGUUGAUAGUGUUGGUCUCUCAAGCCAGCUGUCAUAGAUUCAAAUUCCGUUUCCCAG